CUAAGAUGAGCACGUAGAGCAGGGUUUAACUGGAUGGGUACAGCAGGCUGACUGCAAACCAUGCCAUGGCUCCAACCAGGGCAAAGCUGCUGGAUCUUUGGGCCCUGCGUGCUGGUACCAAAGAGCAGUGCUGAAACAAGCUCUCCAAUUUCCAAUGAGUGGAAGUUCUUGCUGCCCCGACUUUUCAGCUUCUGACCUAGCCCUGGCAAUCAGGCUUUUGAAACCUAGGCUUCCCACAGCAAGAAGUCUCAGAGGUCUUUGCUGGUGCGUUUCCAAAGCAGACGCCUGUUUAACAAGGAAUUGCAGCAGGGGAUGCCUGUUUGCUUCUCUCAGCUACUGAGGAGGAAAGAGGUGAGGGUUCUCGAGAGUAUUCAUUCUGAGUGCUGGACAAUGAGCCAUCCGGCAGGGUGUGGUGCGCAGACAUAAGGCAUGGGAGGAGAUCGUGGGGAAUGUUAGCAAGCCAAUAGACCUUUUCUUCCCCAAACUGGGCAACUGCAGUUUGAUUUGUUCCAGCUGUGGCAAAGGCACCUAGUGGUUUCAGUAGUGGGGCCAUCAACCCUUUGAGAUGGUUAUUUCAAACAUCGUGACAUUUUGUGACUUUGUAAAGAACACAGAGGUGUUG
RNAcentral lists this long non-coding RNA (622 nucleotides) under Anser brachyrhynchus (Pink-footed goose). RNAcentral describes it as "lncRNA (ENSABRG00000001808.1)". Lineage: Eukaryota; Metazoa; Chordata; Aves; Anseriformes; Anatidae. The record is from RNAcentral.